GCGGGAUCUCAGAAGUAUGGUAUGGUCCAGGAGUUUCUUUCCAACGUUUGCGGCAGGACUGCGCCAGCGGGCACAGUGGACGAACCGAAGCCUGAAUACCUACCUGGAGCCUUGACUGGCACAGACAAUAUCACAAAGAUCGUCAACAAGAGGUUUAUGAAAACACAAAAAGACGAUUUGGUAGCCACCGGAAAGGAUGCAAUGAGCACAAGCUCUAGUACCUUGGAGGAUUCAGUUUGUGACUGCAACUCACAAACCGUCACUUCCUGUUUUGCCCGCAACUCCCGCUCCACGGCACGACAUACCCAUGGUCAGUGCAAGCACCGAGUGCAAGAGUCAUCCAUGGGAACUGAAGAACGAUUCGAUACCAGUAAUGAGUGAGGAUGAGGGUGGCCUCUUCUGACGCUUCCCAAAAACUAUACAAAAUAAACAACCAUCAACACUCACACCACACAAACUGCCACAAAAACCCACUGCCACAUACGCCAAAUACACAGACACACCUAGAAAACAAACACACAUACUUCUAUCUUAAACAAACAAAAAAAAACUUCAGGGUUACAACAAAGGGACCUUGGAAAAUUCCUGCAUCUGGAGAGUUUCCAAACCAGACCUCAGUGUAACCAGCACACUUUAAUGCCAAGGAUGGGGAGAAAGUUGACCUCCCUUUUAGGUCCACCAUUCCACUGUCAAGAUUUCACAUUGUUAGUCCGUCAUUCCAGUGUAAACCAGCCAGUCCUGACUUUGAAUUCCACAAUCAUUUAGUCAGACCUCUCCUUAAACUCAGCCAUUCCUCUGUUUCCUUAUCCAGCCAAAAGGACAACUUAGCCAGCCAUUUCGAUACCCAUGGGAGAACUUGAGUAAUCCGAACCCAAGUUGACACCAGGUUUUAAUGAAUUUCAUGUAGAUAUCAAGGAAACAUAAAGCAUGCAGCUGAACUACACAAACUAAGAACCUCAACAUGGCCUUCAGUAAGAGUAAAACUUAUCAUCACAACUGCCCAGUGGCCCUUACGCUUUCCCACAAAUAGUAUUGCUUGGAGUAGCUGUAAAUUUGUCCCAUAACCAGCAAUUCAUGGAUUCUACGAGUUCAUGUACAACUUACCUUUUUUUUAAAAAAGUCUACAAUGGACCACUUUUGUCUUUGAUGGUUAAGAAGAAAGUUUCUUCCUGGAAAGUGUUGCCACCUUAAACCAACAUGGUCUCAAUUUGGUUUUAUGUUCAUGUUCUCCACAGACAAUCAUCAAACAGCAAAGCUUGUUUCAACCACUUUAUAAACUCUCCAACUACUUGGGACCAUGUUCCAUUUUCAAACCAGCCAAAAUAUGAAACUAUACGAAUAUACCCCUGGAUUUAUCUAAAAAAGGACUGGAUGAUAUGAUUCAUCAAAUUGCAUUAUAAAUCUGUUCCAUUUAAAACUUGAUAUUCUUAUUGUGCUGUCUGAAAAUGUCUACAAAGAGCACGUUGGUAGAGGUAGAGUAGGAGGAUAACAGUUGUUUUGUUUUCUUUGGUACUUUGUACUGUAUAAGUGUUUGAGCAUUAGAGUACUAACAUGUAAAUCUCCAUUCCUUGGCUAGGAUGUCCUCAUGAAUUUUAAAGUGUAAUGGACAUUUUUAUUAUACUUUUUAUUAUCGCCCCCUGCUACAACGGAAGACUGUUGCUGGGUGUAUCUUCUGCUAUCCUCUUCUUUAUUUUCACUGUCUACCUCGCCAUCCUCCAUCAUCAUGCUGAAAUAAACCUAAUGGACCUUAGUUAGGGUAGACGUCAGUUUUAAUUUGAUGUGAAUGAAAACAAGACUAUGAGGGAUAUAAGUAUAGUCAGUUAAAUAGAUUUUACUAUUGAGAUGUUAAUCUUAAGUACUUGGUUUUAAGAAUCAUUCUAAGUCCUUGCGGUCUUCUGAUUCAAGUGGUUUUUGAACUAAUGCUGACUAGACUGUUGGGUAGUAGUCUGCAUCAAUGCUGGCUCAGCAAAAAGGUGCAAAAUGGCUUAAAGGGGGAGCUUGUGAGCACCCUGCCGAAACCUAAAAUGACAAAUGGGAUAUUCUAUACACCAGGGAUGGGCAACGCCGGUCCUGGAGUACUCCUGUCAUGCAGAGUUUAGCUCCAGCCCUCACCUGCUCCAAAAAACUCACCUGCCUUUAGCCCAAGUAAUCCUGAAGAUUAAUUGGCUUGUUCAGGUGUGUUUGAUUAGGGUUAGAGCUACAGGACAGCAGCACUUUUGCCCAAAUUGCCCAUUGUUUCACUUGGGAUAGAGCCAGAGUGUACAUCAAUCCCUACAGCCUCAAUCAUGCCAAAUCGAAUGUCGUCUACCCUGACCAAAACCCAUAAUCCUAUUUAACAGAACACAUUUGAAAGCCUCACAAAAUACGAAUUAUGCAGAUUUCACAUUUAUAAACAGACAUGUUUAAGACUGAAACAUUGAAUGCUAAUUAAUUGGCCAUAGAGAGAUUUAGAGAUUUUAUCAGAUAAUCCCAAAAUAUAAUCCAUAAUCUGAUCAUUUGUCCAUGAAGCUAUGCAGUUACUGAAAUACGAGUGUGUGCCUCCCUGUAGCAGCUCCUGCAUCCAAGUCAAGGUUUUUUCUUUUGGUUUUUUCAAAUCUCCAGUUGGAGUGGUGCUGCAGAAACUGAAGUUUAGUAAUUUUUGCUGGUGCUUUUCUUAGCUAUGAUGACAGAACAUUAGAGGAAACAUUUUUUGAAUGCAUUUCUCGAGCCAUAAGAAUUGUCGAUUCUGCUCUCUUUAUAAAUCGGACAUUUCUCAAUUGUUCAGUGUCUGGAAAAACAAACAAACCAAAACAAAAACCCAGCCUAUUAUAUCCCAGAAAGUGUCACCUCUUCGUCUGUCACAGCCUUGUCAUAUGUCCCACAGCUACCUCUUAACUCAAAACUGUAUCUUAUAUUACAUUUAACCCAUUCAUGUUUUAUUUUGAAGGUCACUAGAGUGCCUUUUUAAAAGUAAAGCAACAAGAUAUCUGUUAGAAGUAUGUUUUUGAGGAACCAUCUACUGAUGGCGUGAAAUUUUCAGAGGACUGCAGUUAGCUACAGAACCCCUGUUUCUUAAAAAGGAAAGACAUGACUAAGUCUGUAUUCAUAAAGUUAAAUGAAGUGCAAAUUCAAUCUAUUGUUUCUAUUGAUUACAGAAGCCAAAAUGCAGUUUGAGGAUAUUUACGAGUGAAAUCUGCAAACGUAAUCAGUCCGUCCGUCCUUUCUUUAUAAGCCAUUAUAAAACACUAUUUGAAUGUUUCCUGUAUUGAGUCUGAUGUUGUGGCUUUGCUCACUUAUACAUGUCAGACAAAUGGUGUACUGUCCCUUCAAGUGUCCCUUAACUGUCUAGUCUGUCUGAGAUUGGUCACAUGAUCUCUGAAAAAACAGGGGGAAUGACCUUAGUUUAGGAGUUUUUCGUUUGAGUGCUCUCGUUUAAGUCUUACAUCAAAACCCCACUGAUGGUUUCCCCAAAUUUAGCAGAAGAAUGUAAAUGAAGCCAAUUAGACACUUUUAUAGCUGUUCUUAAACCAUUGACAGAAGUUUAAAAGGUCAUGUGGUUAGUGGUUUUAGAUUUAAAGGAGUUGCAUGGGAGCAGCUCUCUAAUUGGCCUUUCCAUUCACACUGUUUUAAUGCCUAGCAAUAUAUAAAACACCUCGUCGCUUAUCGUUGUCAAUAUCAAUUGCUAAAUUAUUAUGAAGAGAAUGUGUGUAUAUUUUUUUGUUUUUGUUUCCAUUUGAAAUCUCUUGAAUGAAAAAGAUGAUGUCGGAUGGACAACGAGGAACAUUUCUAAACGUUUUAACUUGAAAUCGAAUAUACUGUAAAUAAAUACGCAAUUUGUACUCUUUCUAUCCUUGUGUAGGAAAUUUUGAAUGUCUCUGCCAACUUUGAGCUUGAAUUCUGUACCUUUCCUCAACUGAAUUAAAAACAUGAGAACAUUUUGUGUAAAUAGAAACAUUUUGAAAAUAAAAGUGCUGAAAAUUU
This is a non-coding RNA of Pimephales promelas (fathead minnow), 3960 nucleotides long. The record is from RefSeq and is a predicted model, not a curated record. NCBI's taxonomy places the organism in Eukaryota, Metazoa, Chordata, Actinopteri, Cypriniformes, Leuciscidae.